Serinus canaria (Common canary) is the source of this 5765-nucleotide long non-coding RNA. RefSeq lists it as uncharacterized. The transcript has 3 exons. The record is from RefSeq and is a predicted model, not a curated record. Lineage: Eukaryota; Metazoa; Chordata; Aves; Passeriformes; Fringillidae.
UCCCAAGUAAGCAGAUCUGCUUCUUCUUAGCCUAAAUAGUUGAUUUAAGCCAUCUAUAGACUAGCUAUUGGUAUGGAAUUAUGCUGGAAGAUGAAAGAAUAACAGUUUUCAUUCUGGACUUUAAUUCUUUUUUUGAUUGGUAGAAAUCUUAAUUUCCUUGUGAUUUUUUUCUUAGGAAUGGCAAUUCAGAGUGUAAUAAAUUCAUUAUGAACUAACCCAUCAUUGGAGAGCUUGUACUCAGGGCUGUGUAUGCAUAUGGCAACAAAUGCCUGCUCAGUGCAUUUUCACAGUUGCUGUUGCUUUGUUAAUAAAGUUAACUUAAACAGAUUAACUAGCAAACAACAUAAGACCUAACAAAAAAUGUUAAACAAAGAAGCCUUCAGGAUAUGUUUUUCAAUUUUCUUCUCAGUGGUUUGAAAUACCUGGAUCUGCCUGUGGAUGAGUGGUGUGCCUUUGAAUUUCCUUCAGAGAAGGGUUUAGCUCCACUGUUCUUAGAGUUUGUUUGCAUUACAACAAUUAUCCCUGGGGAGCUGGUGGAAAACCUCUCUGCUCCUCUAAGACAAGAUGAAAUGCUUACAGCUGACUCAGAGGAAGGAGGGAAAGCAAGUAAAACAGAGCUUCCUGCCAAUCAUGUUACCUCUUUAAGAUGGAGUUGGAAGAAACAGAGCUCAUCUGAUGUGUCCAAUACCUAAAGAAGCAUCAGCUUCUUUCAGCUCUAUUGAGCAGCCAGUCACUUACCUGGAAGCUGGAAAUGGAUCUGGCCCCUGCCUGGUUUUGACUGACAAUAAGCAGCAGAAGGAAUCCAGGGCAAAAAAGAAGUUUCAGAUUCAUGUUUGGUGUCUGAUUCCUCUUUCCUUGAGUCUCUCCAGUUCAAUGUUGCUUUGUCUCCAGCUAUCAGCAUUUAUAUCUUCCUCCAACCCCUCCCAAAUCUACCUUUUGAGUUCCUGCUAGUGCAAGGAUUGGUUUGAGGUUUUGAUCUGGUUUCAUCCACCCAGGAGGAGGAGGGAAGAAAUAGUUCUCUCUUCUGGUGGUGAAUUAAAGGAGCAUUUUCCACUUAGGCAAUGCAGCAUCAUUCUCCUGUCUUGGUGCCACUGAUGUACAUGAGUGAGCACAGCUCAAGGUUCCUUGGGCUGACUGCUGACCCUUUCUUUUUCAUCAAAGAAAAAUAACUGUGAGAGAGCUAUGAAGUGAGAAAGGAAGUGAAUGGUGUUCCCAACACAUUCACCUGGCUCCUUUGUCUGUGAACUCCAUACCAGAGGGAUGGGUGAGAAAACAUGCUGUGUAAGAACUGUUAUCACACAAUAAUGCUAUCAUAACCUAAUGAUAUAACUUAUUAAUGUGAUGCUGUUGACUUAAGAGAUAAAAGAGUGUGAUUUGGAGGAGAAGGGGAAAACCAAGUAUUGCAAGUGCAAGUUGCAGUGGUUAUUGGCCUGAAUGACAGUGAGUGUGGCCAAAACCAAGCUGACAUGCACAGACAGCUUCUACAAGGCUUGAGUUGAGGAAGAAAUUCCUCUUUCCCUGGAUCCAGCUUAAAAUAGUUCCUUUAUGUGAUCUUUCUCAGUCUGUUGUACACAAUUUCUAUUAAAUCUGCAAUCAGUCUGAAAGGAAGAGCAGGCUUGAAAUUUGGCUUCACUGGAAAAUUGAAAUGCAAUAAUACUUCUUGCCCUUUCAUGGCAUUUUUGCACACAUGUGAUGCACAGAGUUAAAGGCCAUCAAGCUGGAUCUACACAGGGAAAUGGAAAUUAAAGACCAUCUGGUAUUUUUCAUCUGAUAUUUGAGUUACUGAAAGCUUGCAAACCAAUUUUCAGUAUCAACUUGUUGAUCCUGGAAGCUUGGAAAAAAUAAUUCUGUGAUGUGGCAGCAGGUUUAAUGUUUUCAAUGUUUUUUAUGUGCAGAUCAGUUUGAGGUAUCAUUUUAAGGGUCUCUAGAAAUGGGUGUUGUAAGGAGACAGCUCAGAAACAUCCCUCUGUGACAGAAAAAGAAGUUUCAUGUUAUUGUAUUGUUGGGGUUUUUUUGUUGGUGAUGUUGGUGAAAACCACAUUUGAUAUGAAUCUUAUUAGUAAAUGAAAUCAUCAUCCCAGAGGUUUGAGGUGUGUACUCAAGGUAACAACACAGUAAGAAAAGGUCAGGGCAGUUUCAGGUUCAUCUUUUCUCCAGGAUUGUUUUGUUGCUUUGAUUGGCUUCUCACAGGUCUGCAUAAAGUGGAUAAUAAAUCUUCUGGACCUUGAGAUCUCUGAAGUCAUUUUGGGGUUCUGCAGAAUUGUCUCUCUGGAUACUGUUGGACAUUCAUGCACUAGUGCAGUCCUCAUCUAUGACUCUGUUGGUAAAAGAAUAAUUAAGGCUGGACAGAACUUCUAGGAGUCUCUGGUGCAAUCUUGUGCUAAAGCAGAGCCAACUUCGAUGAAAUUUCUCAAUGCCUUGUCAAGGUGAAUUUGAAAACCUUCAAGAAACAAUGAUGUACUAAAAUCUACUUGGAAUUUUCCCAUUGCCAUUUGUGUCAUUGCCUCUCAUCCUAAUGCCUUGCAGCUGGAUGCUGUCCAUAAGCACAAGUGAAGGAUGUUCCAUCUCCCCAAACAAUGACAUUCCAUGGGAUUGUAUUUCAGAGAGAGCUCCAUAACCCACACAGCAAGGGCAGCUUCAGCCCAGGUAACCCCCAGCAGGGUUCAGAUCAGAUUUGGUGCCGUGGCAAGUAGCUGGAAACAGAAAGCAUUCCAGCAAAUGUCUCUGCUUUACAUUCCAGGUUUUCUCAGGGCUCAGAUGAGCAUCAAACUCAGGGUCUGAAUGUUCACAGAGAUUUAUCAUUGGGGUGGUGCAGCUAGGAUGGAGACUUCAGGAGGAACCCCUGAGGCCAGCAGGAAAUAUUUUAGAGUUAGGAAAUGGCUUUGUGUCCCUUUUUGAAGUGCUUCUUUGUAAGACAAGUCUUUCAUAUAGGGUGGAAGGAAGCAGGUUGAUGUGUGUUGCUCAUCUCCAACAACAAGUUGUUUACCAGAUUCCUGAGGUAUUUCUCCUGUAUCAUCAGAAAUCUGAUUAAAGAGCAAGAUUAAGGCAAACUAUUCCUCUGGUGUGGAGGUCCCAGCUGUGGGUGUCUCUGGCUCUGGACUGAAGGCACUCAGACAGCAGUUCAUGUUCACACUCAGGUGUUUAUUAUUCCUUAUCAGUCAAACAGCCUCACUGCUGGGAGCUCAGCAGCUUUUCAUUACAAGGCACAAAAUGCCCAACAAUCUCUUGGUCCAAGGGCUUGUGAGACUGAACUGUCCAAUGAAGAGCUGACACCUGGAUUAUUUUCCCUUUUAACCCAAGAACUGAUCCCACAGAGCUGCAGUGCAGACUUUUCUGCCCAAUUCCAAAAUGCCACCCAAACCCAUGGAGGAGGAGGAAGAAGAAGCAUGAAGAAGAAACCCAGGACAGCACCCUGUGCCCUCCACCUUGCUGCCAUCCACAACAUCCUAAAAACCCCAAACCCUCAAUUUCUCACCCAGUGACACACCUGCACUGCUCUCUAGAAUCUAUUGCACACUUUUGUGGGUUCCAGUCUCUCCUGAAGUCUGGGAAACUUUCUCCAUGGAUGAGGGUCAGAGUCAGUGCUGCCCUGGGGGUCAGGGCACCCCAGAGCAGACACUGAAAUAUUCCUGUGCCCUGGGUUUCCACACUCUGGGGAUAUACCUGCCUCAUCCCAUGAGGAAGCUGAGCACUGAAGUUGGUAGCACACCUACUAGGCUUGGUAAGGCAUCAUUAGGGCACUGCUGCAGUAACUCAUCUUCCUCCUUCCAAGCACACUGACCCCUUUAGCCUCCCUCUCCUUCCCAGCUGCUCAGGCCAAGAUUCCCUGGCUGGCUGAAAGGGCAGUGAUGUUUCUGCAGCACUUUCAUCACAGUGGGAUCACUGAGUCUGUGAGGGAAGCUGGCACCAGGGGCCCCUCACUGAGACAUUAACAUUUAGCUGCAAUCUCCAAGCAUUUUCCUGGUGUCCCCCUGCCUCCCCUCCCUGAGUGGGCUGGAGCUGGGCUGGCAGGCUCAGUGUACAGCAUCAACACCAUGAAUGGUUGUUUAUUUAAACAUUUAAUUUAUUAAAAGUUUCAAAUGGAUGGUUGAGUUCAGCGCUAAAUAUGUUGAUCUGGACAUUUUUGCUUCCCCAUGAUCUUUAAGUUGGAUCUCAGAAAUUCAUAGGUUGAUCUUGCACCAAACUGCUCAGAAUCCAAGUUCUUCAUUCUCUGUGUUUUAUGAGACAUCUGUGGUGUUUGGACUGAGGUCUAAUUUGUCUGUGUUAUUGCCUCACUGGAGCAAGGCUGAACUUGCGGUGGGAGCAGCUGCAGGCAGGAAAGUUGUGGCAUUGACUGCACUUCCUAACUUCUCUCAUGUCAUGUCCAUGCUGACCACAAAGGUCAGCAUGGACAUGACACAUCCCCGGCUGCUCUGAGCUGGGACAUUUAGCCAGGUCCCUCCUGUGAGAUCCCAUCUGGGCUCUUCGUUUGGUUACUGAGGUGUGUGGUGACCUCUCCUGGUGAGUGGAGAACGUGCCUCAAGACCCAGAGCAACUUCUGCUAAAACCGGAGCAAAUAAUAGAGCAGCCAUUGAGAGCCUUCAAUAAAAUUAUUUCUUCAUCAUCAAAAGCAUGGUGCAUGCACUGCAACAAGGUUCUGAGUGUCUCUUUUUCAGGGUUUAGUGGUGGAAGUGUGUGUGAGUGGUCAUGUCUUGGGAAGGCUCUUGUUAUGUCUGUGGUGAAUUGUUGUUUAUUUAAACAUUAAAUUUAUGAAAAGUUCCAGUGUCACACGGGUGGCUGAGGUCAACCCUGGAUAUGUUGAUCUGGACUCUCAUAAUGGAUUUUGCAGAAUGUAAGUUUGUGUAGGAAGAGAUGGGCGUGUAGGGAGGAUGUUUCUUAAACAUUUUGUCUGGGAUAACACUUGCCAGGUAUUUCUUUGCAGCUCAGCUCAUCCUGGCAUAGCUGGGAACAGUGUCACCAGUGCCCAUUGACCAAGGUUUGCUUGCCAAGCAGCCAAAUCAAGGGGCAAGAGGUCACACUAUCCCAUUGUGCUAUUUAUUGCUGCAUGCCAUUUGUCAGUGUGGAGCUUGCAGAAGGUGAAGCCAUUUCUAGAAAUGGCUAAACAGCCACAGGAAUGAAAUGGCACCUCUCCUAGAAGUUGCAGUGGUUGUUUACUUCCCUUCUCUCUCCCCUCACAGACUGGUGAUGAACCUAAAAAUAACCUAACUAACUAAAAAUGUAAUCAUUACAUAAAUCCUGUCCUCCACAAAGCCCUCAGCAGAUUUUCUUUAGCCUGUGAGAGUGGCACUGUACAUAACCUAAAUUUUGUAUUCCCAGAGCAGGAUCUCAAUUGUCCAUUAGAUUUGACAUAUCUCAGAUUUGUGGAUUGUGCUUAACUAGAGAGUGGUGUAGGCCAGUCCCUGUGUUUUGAGAAUAGGGAGGUAAGCUACCCUGAUUUUUGUCUGGGAUUCCUGCAUGUGUUCUUCUUCUUCCUGCUAACAUUUAUGGUCCUUUUCAUCAAUGCUUCUCAUCAGUUCAGGUACAACUGCACACUGCAUGUACCUGUUGCCCUGCUCUUCUAAAGUUCUUCUGAGCCUUCUGAUGUUUACAUUUUUGUAAUGGAGCCUCUCACACACUUUUCAUGUAAAUAAUGAUUGUUUUACAUUCCUUUUUGGAGGAGGAGAGAAUUGAUAGACUGUUGGUUUGACCAGUGUGGCUGGAGAGGUGGCAAUUUCAUCCUCCAAUCCAUGGUCACUUUUGAAAGUCUAUAAAUAUUGGAGUUUGGA